RNAcentral lists this ribosomal RNA (684 nucleotides) under uncultured bacterium. Its description in RNAcentral is "bacterial SSU rRNA". It matches the Rfam family "Bacterial small subunit ribosomal RNA", at positions 118 to 822 of the family's 1533-position model. The record is from RNAcentral.
UGGAUAACCUGCCCCGUACAGGGGGAUAACAGCGGGAAACGGCUGCUAAUACCCCAUAAACCCUGAGGUACGCAUGUACCAUAGGGAAAAGUUCCGGCGGUACGGGAUGGAUCCGCGUCUGAUUAGCUAGUUGGUGAGGUAAAGGCCCACCAAGGCGACGAUCAGUAGCCGGCCUGAGAGGGCGGACGGCCACAUUGGGACUGAGACACGGCCCAGACUCCUGCGGGAGGCAGCAGUGGGGAAUAUUGCACAAUGGGGGAAACCCUGAUGCAGCGACGCCGCGUGGGUGAAGAAGUAUUUCGGUAUGUAAAGCCCUAUCAGCAGGGAAGAAAGAGGACGGUACCUGACUAAGAAGCCCCGGCUAACUACGUGCCAGCAGCCGCGGUAAUACGUAGGGGGCAAGCGUUAUCCGGAUUUACUGGGUGUAAAGGGAGCGUAGACGGCAGAUCAAGUCUGGAGUGAAAUCCCGGGGCUCAACCCCGGAGCUGCUCUGGAAACUGAGAAGCUAGAGUACUGGAGAGGCAGGCGGAAUUCCUAGUGUAGCGGUGAAAUGCGUAGAUAUUAGGAGGAACACCAGUGGCGAAGGCGGCCUGCUGGACAGCGACUGACGUUGAGGCUCGAAAGCGUGGGAGCAACAGGAUUAGAUACCCUGGUAGUCACGCUGUAAACGAUGAAUACUAGUGU